AGAGCGUAAGGGGAAUGCCUUGGCACCAGGAGCCGACGAAGGACGCAGCGAUCUGCGAAAAGCCACGGGGAGCCGAAAGCAGGCUUUGAUCCGUGGAUAUCCGAAUGGGGAAACCCGCAUGGUUAAUAGCCAUGCGACGUAUACUGAAUAAAUAGGUAUGCGUCGGGAACCGUCUGAACUGAAACAUCUAAGUAGGACGAGGAAAAGAAAUCAACCGAGAUUCCGUAAGUAGUGGCGAGCGAACACGGAAGAGGCCAAACCGAAGGUAGCAAUAUCUUCGGGGUACGGACAGUAAACGGCAUUGCGGUAUCUUAGCAGAAGUGCAUGGGACGGCACACCAUAGAGAGUGAUAGUCUCGUAAGCGAAAAGAGAAGGCAGCCAACUGUAUCCAGAGUACCGCCGGACACGUGAAACCCGGUGGGAACAUGGGGGGACCAUCCUCCAAGCCUAAAUACUCCCUGGUGACCGAUAGAGAACAGUACUGUGAAGGAAAGGUGAAAAGAACCCCGGGAGGGGAGUGAAAAGAACCUGAAACCUUAUGCUUACAAGCACCGAGAGCCCAUCAAAGGGUGAUCGGGUACCUUUUGUAGAAUGGUCCGGCGAGUGAAUGUAACUGGCAAGGUUAAGCACUUCAGGUGUGGAGCCGAAGCGAAAGCAAGUCUUAAUAGGGCGUCAAGUCAGUUGUAUUCGACCCGAAACCGUGUGACCUAGCCAUGAGCAGGCUGAAGUGGAGGUAAAACUCCAUGGAGGGCCGAACCCACUCCCGUUGAAAUGGUAGGGGAUGACUUGUGGCUAGCGGAGAAAUUCCAAUCGAACUCGGAGAUAGCUGGUUCUCUCCGAAAUAGCUUUAGGGCUAGCCUCGACUUAGAUUACCGGAGGUAAAGCACUGAAUGGGCUAGGGGCCGAGAGGUUACUGAACCCUAUCAAACUAAGAAUGCCGGAUAAUGAUAAUCGGGAGUCAGACAGUGUGAGAUAAGUUUCAUUGUCAAAAGGGAAACAGCCCAGACCCACAGCUAAGGUCCCAAAGUACAGUUAAGUGGUGAAGGAUGUGGAAUUGCAUAGACAACCAGGAUGUUGGCUUAGAAGCAGCCACUCAUUAAAAGAGUGCGUAAUAGCUCACUGGUCGAGUGAUUCUGCGCCGAAAAUUUAACGGGGCUAAAUUGUACACCGAAGCUUGGGAUACAUCUAAUGUAUGGUAGGAGAGCGUUGUAUACGGGGUGAAGUCAGAGCGGAAGCGCUGGUGGACUGUAUACAAGUGAGAAUGCCGGAAUGAGUAGCGAGAAUUAUGUGAGAAUCAUAAUGGCCGAAAGACUAAGGUUUUAGAAGGAAGGUUCGUCCGCUUCUAGUCAGCCGGGAGCUAAGGCGAGGCCGAAAGGCGUAGUCGAUGCACAUACGGUGGAGAUUCCGUAGCCGCCAUUAAUUUAAACAGAGGGACACUUUCAAGGGGCAUGACCCGGGCGUUGGUAGACCCGGGCGUAAGGGACCGAAGAUUAGUAGGGAAGCAUGCUUUAAGGAAGGCGAGAAAAGCUCUGUGUAUAGAAGAUGGCGCCCGUACCGCAAACCGACACAGGUAGUCAGGAAGAGAAUUCUAAGGCCAACGGGAGAAGGGUAGUUAAGGAACUCGGCAAAUUGACCCCGUAACUUCGGGAUAAGGGGCGGUGCGUAAGCACCCGCAGUGAAUAGGUCCAGGCGACUGUUUAUCAAAAACACAGCUCUCUGCUAAAUCGAAAGAUGACGUAUAGGGGGUGACACCUGCCCGGUGCUGGAAGGUUAAGAGGAAGGGUGCAAGCUCUGAAUUGAAGCCCCAGUAAACGGCGGCCGUAACAAUAACGGUCCUAAGGUAGCGAAAUUCCUUGUCGGGUAAGUUCCGACCCGCACGAAUGGUGUAACGAUCUGGGCACUGUCUCAACUACCCACCCGGCGAAAUUGUAGUACCGGUGAAGAUGCCGGUUACCCGCGGCAAGACGGAAAGACCCCAUGGAGCUUUACUGUAACCUGAUAUUGGGUUUCGGUAUUUUAUGUACAGGAUAGGUGGGAGACUAUGAAACUAAGGCGCCAGCCUUAGCGGAGUCGCCCUUGGGAUACCACUCUUAAAGUACUGAAAUUCUAACCUGCGGCCGUGAAUCCGGUCGGGGGACAUUGUCAGGCGGGCAGUUUGACUGGGGCGGUCGCCUCCAAAAGAGUAACGGAGGCGCUCAAAGGUUCG
This 2206-nucleotide ribosomal RNA is filed under the name human gut metagenome. RNAcentral describes it as "bacterial LSU rRNA". It matches the Rfam family "Bacterial large subunit ribosomal RNA", at positions 14 to 2320 of the family's 2925-position model. The record is from RNAcentral.